GCCAGGAAUGGUGGUACAUACUUGCAAUCCUAGCUCCUGGGAAGGUUGAGGCUGGUGGAACUUUUGAGCUUGUGAGUUCUGAGAUGCUGAUUGGGUGUCUGUACUAAGUACAGUAUCAAUAUGGUGAGCCCCUGGAAGUGGGGGGCCACCAAAUUGCUGAAGGAGGGGUGAACUGAUCUGGAUCAGAAAUAGAGCAGGUCAGAGCUUCAGUGCUUAUCAGUAAGGGGAUCAAGCCCUGUGCUUCCAGCCUGAGUGUGACAAGGAAACCCAAUCUUAA
Molecule: signal recognition particle RNA, 277 nt
Filed under: Vombatus ursinus (common wombat)
Lineage: Eukaryota; Metazoa; Chordata; Mammalia; Diprotodontia; Vombatidae
Description: Metazoan signal recognition particle RNA (ENSVURG00010019579.1)
Rfam family: Metazoan signal recognition particle RNA
About the family: The signal recognition particle (SRP) is a universally conserved ribonucleoprotein.
Source: Rfam by way of RNAcentral